Molecule: ribosomal RNA, 497 nt
Filed under: uncultured bacterium
Lineage: Bacteria
Description: partial 16S ribosomal RNA
Rfam family: Bacterial small subunit ribosomal RNA
Source: RNAcentral
GACGAACGCUGGCGGCGUGCCUAAUACAUGCAAGUUGAGCGAUGAAGAUUGGUGCUUGCACCAAUUUGAAGAGCAGCGAACGGGUGAGUAACGCGUGGGGAAUCUGCCUUUGAGCGGGGGACAACAUUUGGAAACGAAUGCUAAUACCGCAUAAUAACUUUAAACAUAAGUUUUAAGUUUGAAAGAUGCAAUUGCAUCACUCAAAGAUGAUCCCGCGUUGUAUUAGCUAGUUGGUGAGGUAAAGGCUCACCAGGGCGAUGAUACAUAGCCGACCUGAGAGGGUGAUCGGCCACAUUGGGACUGAGACACGGCCCAAACUCCUACGGGAGGCAGCAGUAGGGAAUCUUCGGCAAUGGACGAAAGUCUGACCGAGCAACGCCGCGUGAGUGAAGAAGGUUUUCGGAUCGUAAAACUCUGUUGGUAGAGAAGAACGUUGGUGAGAGUGGAAAGCUCAUCAAGUGACGGUAACUACCCAGAAAGGGACGGCUAACUACGUG